This 638-nucleotide long non-coding RNA is filed under the name Danio rerio (zebrafish). Its description in RNAcentral is "lncRNA (ENSDARG00000117642.1)". Lineage: Eukaryota; Metazoa; Chordata; Actinopteri; Cypriniformes; Danionidae. The record is from RNAcentral.
AGUGCAUUUUCCUGGAGUGAUUCACUCUUCUCUUCACUCUCUCUCUCUCUCCACCUCCCUCUCUUUACUCUCAAAAACACCUCACGCCCUCCGUUCCUUCCUUGCCGCCACGUUUGGGAUGGGAAACCCGAACCGCAGUUGUCACGUCGGGACGCGAGCAUCCAAAAGCUCCAGCAAGACCUGCUCCUUUCUCAUCAGGCCCAGGAGCGUUCAGGAUGAGCAGAUACAGCGGCUGGAAGAGGAAGUGUCCAGGCUGAAAUCAUGUCAGCAAAGUUCAGUCAAUCCGCAGGAUGUGCGAGGUCUCUGGAGAGCACAAGAAGAGCUGACGGUGCGAGAGAAAGAGUGGCAGAAAGAGAGAUCUUUUCUUCUGGAGCAGCUUAACAGCCUUAGAAAGGAGCUCCACAGCGCCACCAUCAGGGUACUGCUGCUGAAUCUUUUGCAAUACAUGUUCAAUAAAGUGUGUUUGUGUUGUCCUUGAAAUGGGGGUUUUUCAGUACUGGGUUGCAGCUGGAAUGGCAUCCACUGCGUAAAACAUAUGCUGAAAUAGUUGGCAGUUCAAAUGCAUUACCUCUUGCUCACAUAGCAGCAUUAACUAGUCGUCUGUAAUUUAAUGCCAAGGUGAUAAAACACAAAAUAUU